GACGAACGCUGGCGGCGUGCUUAACACAUGCAAGUCGAACGGAAAGGCCCUGCUUUUGUGGGGUGCUCGAGUGGCGAACGGGUGAGUAACACGUGAGUAACCUGCCCUUGACUUUGGGAUAACUUCAGGAAACUGGGGCUAAUACCGGAUAGGAGCUCCUGCUGCAUGGUGGGGGUUGGAAAGUUUCGGCGGUUGGGGAUGGACUCGCGGCUUAUCAGCUUGUUGGUGGGGUAGUGGCUUACCAAGGCUUUGACGGGUAGCCGGCCUGAGAGGGUGACCGGCCACAUUGGGACUGAGGUACGGACCAGACUCCUACGGGAGGCAGCAGUGGGGAAUAUGGCGCAAUGGGCGGAAGCCUGAUGCAGCAACGCCGCGUGCGGGAUGACGGCCUUGGGGCUGUAAACCGCUUUCGCCUGUGACGAAGCGUGAGUGACGGUAAUGGGUAAAGAAGCACCGGCUAACUAC
This 465-nucleotide ribosomal RNA is filed under the name uncultured bacterium. Its description in RNAcentral is "partial 16S ribosomal RNA". It matches the Rfam family "Bacterial small subunit ribosomal RNA", at positions 28 to 504 of the family's 1533-position model. The record is from RNAcentral.